ACAUGUUCUGCAGCACAACGCCUAAGAACAAAACACACAAGCCAUGUUUCGUUCUUUUAUCUAUUCAAGAUUAAUAUUACAAUACACAUUCACUCACACGCAUAGAUAGACCUUGAUUAUUUUUCAGAUGCUUUCAAAGCCUCACAUAAUAAGACAUCAGAACAUGUAUAUGUAUGCCCUUGCUACUCAACAUCUUUUUCUCUGACCAUUUCCAAGGGGAAAUGAGGAGAUCUCGCAGGGCAAAACACAACCCUGUAGUUUGUCCCGCCAGGGCAUGUAAAUGUGCUUGAAGGAUCAUCCUGAGGGUAACUAUAAGCAUCACUGCAUCUGCUUUUGAAAAACUUUGAGAAUUCGGUAGGUCCACAG
This 366-nucleotide unclassified non-coding RNA is filed under the name Hevea brasiliensis (rubber tree). Lineage: Eukaryota; Viridiplantae; Streptophyta; Magnoliopsida; Malpighiales; Euphorbiaceae. The record is from RNAcentral.